UUUAGACGGAGUCUGGCUCUGUCGCCCAGGCUGGAGUGCAAUGGCGCGAUCUCGGCUCACUGCAAGCUCCGCCUCCCGGGUUCAUGCCAUUCUCCUUCCUCAGCCUCCCGAGUAGCUGGGAUUACAGGCGCCUGCCACCAUGCCCAGCUAAUUUUUGUAUUUUUAGUAGAGACGGGGUUUCACCAUGUUGGCCAGGCUGGUCUCAAACUCCUGACCUCAGGUGAUCUGCCUGCCCUCGGACUCCCAAAGUGCUGGGAUUACAGGCGUGAGCCACCGAGCCUGGCCUAAAACUUCUUUCAAUGGCACUGACCUUUCUGUGUUGUCACUCAGUCAUAAUAAAAUCCCAGGUACAAUCAGAAUGCUGCAUUCUCCAGCCAUAAAGAUCGCUCCCUCUUUUCAAACAUCCCUGUCCCUCAAGGCCUAGCUCAAGACGGUCACCUUAAGAAAAGCUCCCUUUGUCGAGCAGUGACUCCAUACCAGGCCCUGCUUUAAACGCUUUAUCUGCAUUAUCUUACUUGAUUCUCGCAAUAGCCCUGGGUGGUAGGUGCAAUUAUUAUCUCCAGUUUAUAAAAGAAGAUACUGAGGGUCAGAGAAGUUAAGUGACUGGCUCAAGGUGUCACAUUCAGUAAGCGUUGAAGGGGUCUGUGUUGGUCUGUCCUUGAAGAUGCCCCCUACGACUACACUUUCAAUGAUUUCUGCCUUGAACCUGGCCCCAUGACUAAAAACCUCACGUCAAACUCAGGCAGCAAUAACGGGAAGGCUUGGUGCCUCCCAUCACUGGAGCAACUAGUCUAGCUGGUCACUAAGUGGACAGCCCCUCUGUUUCCCUGCAGUAACUAAUUAGCAGAAUAGCACAAAGAUAAAACCCGAAGGCCUUUGUGCAGAAGUUUCAGAGACAUAAGCAAAGUGAGAGCAUUAGGUUCUGCAUAUCUUUCUUGUUGUUGUUGUUGAGACAGAGUCUCGCUCUGUUGCCCAGGCUGGAGUGCAGUGGCACGAUCUUGGCUCACUGCAACCUCCGCCUCCCGGCUUCAAGUGAUUAUUCUGCCUCAGCUUCCCAAGUAACUGGGACUACAGGCGUGCGCCACCACUCCUGGCUAAUUUUUGUAUUUUUAGUAGAGACAGGGUUUCACCAUAUAGGCCAGGCUGGUCUCAAAGUCCUCAACUCGUGAUCCACCCGCCUUAGCCUCACAAAGUGCUGGGAUUACAGGUGUGAGCCACUGCACCCAGUCACAUGUCGUAUUUUAAAAGGGAUUUAAAAGUAUCAUUGGAUUGUUUGUAACACGAAGGAUAAAUGCUUGAGGGGAUGGAUACCCAUUCUCCAGCAUGUCAUGAUUACACAUUGCAUGCCUGUAUCAAAACACCUCAUGUACCCCAUAAAUAUAUACACCUACUAUGUACCACAAAAAUUAAAAUAAAUGGUGGGUGAGAAGAAA
This 1433-nucleotide long non-coding RNA is filed under the name Homo sapiens (human). RNAcentral's name for it is "novel transcript, antisense to BAIAP2L2". Lineage: Eukaryota; Metazoa; Chordata; Mammalia; Primates; Hominidae. The record is from RNAcentral.